AACGCGAAGAACCUUACCAAGGUUUGACAUGGCCGGAAAACUCGCAGAGAUGCGGGGUCCUUCGGGGCCGGUCACAGGUGGUGCAUGGCUGUCGUCAGCUCGUGUCGUGAGAUGUUGGGUUAAGUCCCGCAACGAGCGCAACCCUCGUCCCAUGUUGCCAGCGGGUUAUGCCGGGGACUCAUGGGAGACUGCCGGGGUCAACUCGGAGGAAGGUGGGGAUGACGUCAAGUCAUCAUGCCCCUUAUGUCUUGGGCUGCAAACAUGCUACAAUGGCCGGUACAGAGCGCUGCGAGCCCGUGAGGGUGAGCGAAUCGCGGAAAGCCGGUCUCAGUUCGGAUCGGGGUCUGCAACUCGGCCCCGUGAAGCCGGAGUCGCUAGUAAUCGCGGAUCAGCAACGCCGCGGUGAAUACGUUCCCGGGCCUUGUA
This 426-nucleotide ribosomal RNA is filed under the name uncultured Actinomycetes bacterium. RNAcentral describes it as "bacterial SSU rRNA". It matches the Rfam family "Bacterial small subunit ribosomal RNA", at positions 958 to 1385 of the family's 1533-position model. Lineage: Bacteria; Bacillati; Actinomycetota; Actinomycetes. The record is from RNAcentral.